UUUUUAGAACUCACUUAAAAAAAAAAAUUCCAAUAUAUAUAGAUAGACAACCCAAAAUUUAUUUUCAAAAUGUUUCAUUUAAAAAUUUAAUUAUUAAUUCUAAACCAAUGAUAUUAUAGAACAUCAUUAUAUUUAAAAUAAUUAAAUUAAUACCUUUUGAAUUUAUUUAACAAAAAUUAAGGUAAAUACAUUUUUAUACUUGUCAAACCAAACCUUUUAACCAAUAUAAACUCAUCGCAAACCCCAAACCAAUAGAAAACCAAGCAAAAACCCACGUUUGAUCCAAACCGGACUCAAAUCGAACCUAAAUCAGUCUAGAAAGCCCUAGUAACUAAAAAUUUACUGUUUUGCCCAAAAACAUAUUUUCCCCUCCUUUCCACUAUCGCCGAAAGCCCCCUUCCCGAUCCCCUUUCGUUUUUCCGAUCACCACCCGGUCCGGCGAACGCCACCCCCUCCUGUCGCCGUUGCCUCCUCAGCGUGCUCUCCUCUCCAUCAUCACUUUUCCGACUGGCGCAAUAGUCGCUAGGAGCUGCGAUUCUGUUCUCGAUCGGGAAAUCGCAUCUCCAGCCUCUCCUUCGAUUUUCCCUCGACUCCAGCCCGAUCGGUCGGCUUUAGCUCCCUUGUCUGGCUGUGUCCCUCAAUUUCUCUCUCUUCCUUCCUGUUCCGGCUGGCGCAACGAUCAGGAGAAGCUGCGACUGUGGUUGCGAUCAGGAAAGUCUCGUUACCUUUUUUUUUUGCAUUUUCCGGCGAGCCCAGCCAAGGACCGGCCAAACUAGACCUCCCACCUCGUCCCCGGUUCCUUUCCGACCACUGUCUCUUCUGUCUUCUUUAAAUUUAGCGGCGGCAGUAGCUAGCUCGAGGGAGACGUUUCUACCGAUCGUUCUAACUGGAAAAUUUCGAUUUCCGGCGUAUGUUGCGACUGGGUAAGCCAUAUUAUGACAUUAAAUUUAAUUCAUGAGUUCUUUGAUCUUAGUUGAAGGAUUUGAGGUAUAUAAUUGAGCUAUUGUAGAAAUUUAAAUAUUCAGCUACUAUUUAUAUGAGUAUGAUUAGGAAUUUCAAUUUGUGCUCUUUAAAUAGGUAUAUAAACUAAAUCCUAUAUAGAAAUGGUUAGAUUUUUGCUUCUAUUAUAAAUUUGUGUGAAGAAUUAAAGAUUCUUUAUAUUGGCAGUAGCUAUUUAGCCAUUCGCUUGAGAUUCAGGUAAUUAAUGAAGGUAAUGUAUACUAUAUGCUAAACUCUUGAUGGGAAAUUUUGAUCUUUACCUUCUAAUUGAUAUAUAACCUGAAUUCUUGUAUAGAAAUAGGUAGAUUAUUUGCUUAAACUACAAAUGUUUGCAAAGAAAUCAAGGAUCUCUUAACUAUGGCAGCAACGAACUUAAUUAUUUAUAUGAGUUCUAUUUUUUUUCGAAGGAAUGGUAUUACACAAAAUAAUUAUGUUGCGAAAUGAAUUGAUUAUCAUGUAAAACAUGAAUUUUGGUGGAG
Molecule: long non-coding RNA, 1478 nt
Filed under: Jatropha curcas
Lineage: Eukaryota; Viridiplantae; Streptophyta; Magnoliopsida; Malpighiales; Euphorbiaceae
Description: long non-coding RNA (JCUR_LNC000627)
Source: RNAcentral